GGAUGUCAGAGCGAUCUGGCUGUGAUAUGUCAUCCCUUUCAUUGCCAGGGUUGAUUUAGUUAAUCUGGCUGGCUAGGCGGGGGUCCCCUUCCCCCGCUGAGCAUGCCAUGGCGACCCUCCUCAUACUGUGCAUUUGGUCAAAGAGGACAACCUUCCCUGCUAGAGGAAGGCCAUUUCCUCAGUCGAGGUGUACAAGUAGCUGCGCUGCCCUCCUAGAACCUCCACACAAGCUCUCCAGAAUAUGUGUCUGUGGGAUACACUGACUCAAUUCAAGAAUCCUCUGAACUUAUAACUCAGGCUAACAGGACUAAAUCUGCUUGUUUUU
Molecule: unclassified non-coding RNA, 325 nt
Organism: Fukomys damarensis (Damara mole-rat)
Lineage: Eukaryota; Metazoa; Chordata; Mammalia; Rodentia; Bathyergidae
Gene: 7SK
Rfam family: 7SK RNA
About the family: 7SK was discovered as an abundant small nuclear RNA in the mid-70s but a possible function has only recently been suggested. Two independent studies have found that 7SK RNA binds the CDK9/cyclin T complex (known as elongation factor P-TEFb).
Source: Ensembl